Molecule: ribosomal RNA, 443 nt
Filed under: uncultured Mollicutes bacterium
Lineage: Bacteria; Bacillati; Mycoplasmatota; Mollicutes
Description: bacterial SSU rRNA
Rfam family: Bacterial small subunit ribosomal RNA
Source: RNAcentral
AGUACUGUUUAAUUCGAAGAUACACGAAGAACCUUACCAGGUCUUGACAUACCAUUGACAGGCGCAGAGAUGUGCUCUCCUUCGGGCAAUGGAUACAGGUGGUGCAUGGUUGUCGUCAGCUCGUGCCGUGAGGUGUUGGGUUAAGUCCCGCAACGAGCCGCAACCCUCAUUGUUAGUUACUACCAUUCAGUUGAGGACUCUAAUGAGACUGCCAACGAUAAGUUGGAGGAAGGUGGGGAUGACGUCAAAUCAUCAUGCCCUUUAUGACCUGGGCUACAAACGUACUACAAUGGCCAAUACAAAGAGAUGCGAAGCGGUGACGUGGAGCGAACCUACAGAAAGUUGGUCUCAGUUCAGAUUGAAGUCUGCAACUCGACUUCAUGAAGGCGGAAUCGCUAGUAAUCGCGGGUCAGCAGACCGCGGUGAAUACGUUCCCGGGUUUU